UGGAGUAAGGCCAAGUGGUAAGGCAUCAAUUUUUGGUAUCGGCAUGCAAAGGUUCGAAUCCUUUUACUCUAG
Non-coding RNA from Triticum aestivum (bread wheat), 72 nucleotides. Lineage: Eukaryota; Viridiplantae; Streptophyta; Magnoliopsida; Poales; Poaceae. The record is from Rfam.